AGAGUUUGAUCAUGGCUCAGAGCGAACGCUGGCGGCAGGCUUAACACAUGCAAGUCGAGCGGGCAUAGCAAUAUGUCAGCGGCAGACGGGUGAGUAACGCGUGGGAACGUACCUUUGGUUCAGAACAACACAGGGAAACUUGUGCUAAUACCGGAUAAGCCCUUACGGGGAAAGAUUUAUCGCCGAAAGAUCGGCCGCGUCUGAUUAGCUAGUUGGUGAGGUAAUGGGCUCACCAAGGCGACGAUCAGUAGCUGGUCUGAGAGGAUGAUCAGCCACAUUGGGACUGAGACACGGCCCAAACUCCUACGGGAGGCAGCAGUGGGGAAUAUUGGACAAUGGGCGCAAGCCUGAUCCAGCCAUGCCGCGUGAGUGAUGAAGGUCCUAGGGUUGUAAAGCUCUUUUGUGCGGGAAGAUAAUGACGGUACCGCAAGAAUAAGCCCCGGCUAACUUCGUG
Molecule: ribosomal RNA, 454 nt
Filed under: uncultured bacterium
Lineage: Bacteria
Description: bacterial SSU rRNA
Rfam family: Bacterial small subunit ribosomal RNA
Source: RNAcentral